RNAcentral lists this long non-coding RNA (1075 nucleotides) under Chrysemys picta bellii (western painted turtle). Its description in RNAcentral is "lncRNA (ENSCPBG00000014999.1)". The record is from RNAcentral. Lineage: Eukaryota; Metazoa; Chordata; Testudines; Emydidae.
UGUGGAGCAACUUUGUCGGUCCUUCCCAAGCCCCUGUGCAGAAGUAUUUUUAGCUCACCAACACAGUUAACUAAAGCCCUCCCAACUCAGCAUGCUUCUCACUUCUGUCUGUCCCAACCAGUGCCAAGGAAUGGAUCCAGCCAGGUCAAUGAACUGUUCCUGCUUUUGGCUGCGCUGUUAAUGCAGGAUGAGGCAGGUAUAAGACAUGGUGGAAGGCAUUUCAGCAGUGGCUUGUGGUCCUCAGAAGGUGGUGGCCGGUCUUGGCGAGGAGAUUAUGCAGGCUGGAUGCUGACAUGGCAGAGUGGAGACAGAUUAUGCUGGUUGCAAUCUCUGAGGAUUCCCCCAUCAGAUGGAGAACCACAAGCAUGGAGUGAGGGGACUAAAUCAAUAUGCAGUACUGAGACGACCAGCAGUGGCUCCAGAACUUCUGCAUGCAGACGGCCACUUUCCUAGAGUUGUGUGAGGAGCUUAGUUGCCUCAACCCUCCAGCUCCAGGACAUGUGGAUGAGAAAGGCCACAUCAGUCCAGAAGUAGGUUGCUAUUUCCAUCUGGAAGUUGGCUACCCCAUACUGCUACAGAUCAGUGACUAAUCAGUGUAGCAUUGGCAAGUCAUUGCAUUGGUGCUGUGGUGGAGUUUUGUCAGGCAAUUUUUGUGGUUUAACCACGGUGGUGGAUAUUGCUAACAUUCCUGGCUUUGAGAGAAUGGGGUUCCUGAACUGCACUGGACCUGUCAAUGGCGCACACGUGCCCAUUGUCUGCCCACCACAAGGAACACAUGACUAUGUCAAUCGGAAAGGAUAGUAUUUGCCCAUUGGGCAGAUUUUGCUCAACUACAAAGGCAGGUUCAUGAACGCCAAUGUGAGUUGCACCAGUAGGGUGCAUGACUCGGAGCAUUCAGGAGAUACUGGUAUUGACCUAUUUGGACAAGAAUGGACGUACUUCCUCCAAAUAAUAUGGUUAUUAAUGAAGUAUCUGCCUACUGUUUUUUAGAGGACCCGGCCUAACCUCUACCUCCCUGACUCAAGAAGCCUGGCAGAAAAAUAAAGAGCACCUGGAAGAAGAAUAAAGUUUUGGA